RNAcentral lists this ribosomal RNA (791 nucleotides) under Diaforobiotus islandicus. RNAcentral describes it as "SSU rRNA". It matches the Rfam family "Eukaryotic small subunit ribosomal RNA", at positions 102 to 892 of the family's 1831-position model. The record is from RNAcentral. Lineage: Eukaryota; Metazoa; Tardigrada; Eutardigrada; Parachela; Richtersiusidae.
UAAAUCAGUUAUGGUUCACUAGAUCGUACAGUUUACACGGAUAACUGUGGUAAUUCUAGAGCUAAUACGUGCAAUCAGCUCGCUUCCUUGUGGAGCGAGCGCAGUUAUUAGAACAAGACCAAUCCGGCCUUCGGGUCGGUACAAUUGGUGACUCUGAAUAACCGAAGCGGAGCGCAUGGUCUCGUACCGGCGCCAGAUCUUUCAAGUGUCUGACUUAUCAGCUUGUUGUUAGGUUAUGUUCCUAACAAGGCUUUUACGGGUAACGGGGUAUCAGGGUCCGAUACCGGAGAGGGAGCCUGAGAAACGGCUACCACAUCCAAGGAAGGCAGCAGGCGCGCAAAUUACCCACUCCCGGCACGGGGAGGUAGUGACGAAAAAUAACGAUGCGAGAGCUACAAAGUUUCUCGUAAUCGGAAUGGGUACACUUUAAAUCCUUUAACGAGGAUCUAUUGGAGGGCAAGUCUGGUGCCAGCAGCCGCGGUAAUUCCAGCUCCAAUAGCGUAUAUUAAAGUUGCUGCGGUUAAAAAGCUCGUAGUUGGAUCUGGGUAGCUGGACGGAUGGUGUGCCGAAAGGUAUUACUGUCUGUUCGGCACCACAAGCCGGUCAUGUCUUGCAUGCUCUUCACUGAGUGUGCUUGGCGGCCGGAACGUUUACUUUGAAAAAAUUAGAGUGCUCAAAGCAGGCGUACGGCCUUGCAUAAUGGUGCAUGGAAUAAUGGAAUAGGACCUCGGUUCUAUUUUGUUGGUUUUCGGAACUCGAGGUAAUGAUUAAUAGGAACAGACGGGGGCAUU